UUAGACGGUAGGGUAUUGGCCUACCGUGGCUAUGACGGGUAACGGGGAAUUAGGGUUCGAUUCCGGAGAGGGAGCCUGAGAAACGGCUACCACAUCUAAGGAAGGCAGCAGGCGCGCAAAUUACCCAAUCCUAAUACAGGGAGGUAGUGACAAGAAAUAACAAUACAGAGCCUUACGGUUUUGUAAUUGGAAUGAGUUAAGUAUAAACCCCUUAACAAGUAUCAAUUGGAGGGCAAGUCUGGUGCCAGCAGCCGCGGUAAUUCCAGCUCCAAUAGCGUAUAUUAAAGUUGUUGCAGUUAAAAAGCUCGUAGUUAAUUUUCUGUUAAUUUUUAUAUACAAUGCUACGGUAUUUAUAUAAUAUUAACAUAAUUCAUAUUACUUUUUAGUAUAUGAAACUUUACUUUGAGAAAAUUAGAGUGCUUAAAGCAGGCUAUUGCCUUGAAUACUCCAGCAUGGAAUAAUAUUAAGGAUUUUUAUUCUUCUUAUUGGUUCUAGAAUAAAAAUAAUGAUUAAUAGGGACA
This 521-nucleotide ribosomal RNA is filed under the name Cryptosporidium ryanae. RNAcentral's name for it is "SSU rRNA". It matches the Rfam family "Eukaryotic small subunit ribosomal RNA", at positions 321 to 880 of the family's 1831-position model. The record is from RNAcentral. Lineage: Eukaryota; Apicomplexa; Conoidasida; Eucoccidiorida; Cryptosporidiidae.